This 253-nucleotide ribosomal RNA is filed under the name uncultured bacterium. RNAcentral describes it as "partial 16S ribosomal RNA". It matches the Rfam family "Bacterial small subunit ribosomal RNA", at positions 524 to 776 of the family's 1533-position model. The record is from RNAcentral.
UACGGAGGAGGCUAGCGUUGCUCGGAAUUACUGGGCGUAAAGCGCACGUAGGCGGACUUUUAAGUCGGGGGUGAAAUCCUGGAGCUCAACUCCAGAACUGCCUUCGAAACUGAAAGCCUUGAGUUCGGGAGAGGUGAGUGGAACUGCGAGUGUAGAGGUGAAAUUCGUAGGUAUUCGCAAGAACACCAGUGGCGAAGGCGGCUCACUGGCCCGAUCCUGACGCUGAGGUGCGAAAGCGUGGGGAGCAAACAGG